GAUGAACGCUGGCGGCGUGCCUAACACAUGCAAGUCGAGCGAACAGACGCGGAACUUUCUCCUCUGACGGUAGCGGCGGGAGUGAGACUACGACACGUAUAACCUACCGAUAGGUCUGGGAUAACUUCGGGAAACCGGAGCUAAUACGAGAUAAUAUAUUGAACCGCAUGGUUCAAUAGCUCACGCCGGUUUUGCUGUCACUUUUAGAUUGAUCGGCGCCGCAUUAGCUAGUUGGUAAGGUAACGGCUUACCAAGGCGACGAUGCGUAGCCGAACUGAGAGGGUGAUCGGCCACACUGGGACUGAGACACGGUCCAGACUCCUACGGGAGGCAGCAGUAGGGAAUCUUCCGCAAUGGGCGAAAGCCUGAUGGAGCAACGCCGCGUGAGUGAUGAAGGUCUUCGGAUCGUAAAACUCUGUUAUUAGGGAAGAACAGGUGUUUAAGUAACUAUGCAGGUAUUGACGGUACCGAAAGAGAAAGCACCGGCUAACUACGUG
This 497-nucleotide ribosomal RNA is filed under the name uncultured bacterium. RNAcentral's name for it is "partial 16S ribosomal RNA". It matches the Rfam family "Bacterial small subunit ribosomal RNA", at positions 28 to 507 of the family's 1533-position model. The record is from RNAcentral.